Small nucleolar RNA from Hevea brasiliensis (rubber tree), 107 nucleotides. Lineage: Eukaryota; Viridiplantae; Streptophyta; Magnoliopsida; Malpighiales; Euphorbiaceae. The record is from RefSeq and is a predicted model, not a curated record.
AUGCCAUGGUGUGGACAUUCCCUCUGCAGGUCUUUAUAUCUUUCCCAUGCGUCAUAAAGUAAUUCUCCUUCCUUUUGUCUAAAGGUGUUGAACUCUAGCCUCAGUUU